Molecule: long non-coding RNA, 1531 nt
Filed under: Parus major (Great Tit)
Lineage: Eukaryota; Metazoa; Chordata; Aves; Passeriformes; Paridae
Description: lncRNA (ENSPMJG00000018886.1)
Source: RNAcentral
AUUCCUCCCAGCAUGACUCGUCAGAAACAAGUGAGGAUUCUGAGGCUGAAGUAUCUAGUGAAGAUGAUGAUGAUGAUGAUGAUGAGUACCUGCCCCCUAGCAAGAGACCGAGGAGCAGCAGCAGACGGCGGCUGACUAAUGAAGCUGCCAGUAGUGGUAGAAGAAGAGCAAAAACGUUCAAUCGCAGUUCCUCCCAGCAUGAUUCAUCAGGAACAAGUGAGAAAAUUGAGGUUGAGGUCACAGUCGAUGAUGAUGACCAUGACUUCCUAUUCCUUGACAAGAGUCUGCAGAGUAACAAGUCUGCUAAUGAAGCUGGCAAUAUUGAGAGGAGUGAUGCAGAAGAAUUUAGUUUUGAUUCCUCUUUCCAUGUCGCAUCAGAAACAAGUGAGAAACCUGAGGUUGAGGUCACCAUUGAAGAUGAUGACCAUGACUUCAUAUCUCCUGACAAGAGUCUGCAGAGGAGCAAGUCUGCUAAUGAAACUGCCAAUAGUGAGAGAAAUGAAGCAGAAGAAUGCAAUUCAGGUAAGAUGAAGAUGGAAGGUGAUUUUAUCUCCCUGCUUUGUUUUAUGAAAAGGUUUUGGGCAGUUUUGUGCUGCAGGAGGUGAUACGUGUUAGUGGUGGUGUUUAUUUAAAAGCCAUGGGCUCUGUGUAGAAGUAUUGCUGCAGUAUAAUCAUCAUCAUAGGCUACCUGUGUUGUUUUUUGUUAUGUGAUGUGACAAUGUGAAUACACGCAGAGGAAGUUGGGAUCUUCUGGUUCUGUUCUUUUCUGAUUCUUUUUGUUGGGUUUUUCCACAGAAAAGCAUCUGUGCACUUCAGUUUACCCUGUUUAGAGGUGCUUAGCCUAGGAUUUUUUGUGAUUCUGUACCUCUCCUUUAUUCUGUGCUUUGCUUUGGUUUGUGGCUGCAUUAAUCUGUCUGCUUUUAUAAGGUUCUGUGAAGUCAGGAACAUGUUUUUUACUUAAUAUUUUGAAGGCAGUAAGGUGUAAAGGUAUUCUGGUGUAAAAUCUUGUCCGUGUCCAUCAUUAGCAGUGCUGUUUUUCCUUCAGAUUCCUCCCAGCAUGACUCGUCAGAAACAAGUGAGGAUUCUGAGGCUGAAUUCACUAGUGGAGGUCAGUUCACCAGGUCAUUGAUUUCAGUUGGUUGGGCAGUUUUCUGUCCAAAAUGUGUUUUCCAAAGCUUACAUGACUUGGCAUUUAAUGAAGGGAAUUGUGUGCCAGUGUUGACUGUAGUUUGGAUUGUGCACUGCUUGGUAAACAAAACCUGGUGGAGAAGUAUUAGAAAACCACAAUACACUGAAGCAUAUUGGAGUUCCUGGGCUGGUUUUGAAAUGCUGCCUGACAGCAAUUUGUACCUUGAGUGUAUUUUUGCAGUGUUGGUAAUGGAAAAUCCUCCUUGUCUGGAGAAGAUGUUCUAGCAUUCAUUCAUUCUGAGGAAUCCAUUACUUUAUAAACCCCCUGUAGUUGUAUGUACCAUUAGUAGUUAACAGCAGCUUGUGGGCAGAAUGGUACUGGAACAGAAAGCUGUGCUGCAGG